RNAcentral lists this ribosomal RNA (253 nucleotides) under uncultured bacterium. Its description in RNAcentral is "partial 16S ribosomal RNA". It matches the Rfam family "Bacterial small subunit ribosomal RNA", at positions 524 to 776 of the family's 1533-position model. The record is from RNAcentral.
UACAGAGGGUGCAAGCGUUAAUCGGAAUUACUGGGCGUAAAGCGCAUGUAGGUGGGUAUAAAAGUUUGAUGUGAAAGCCCUGGGCUUAACCUGGGAAUGGCGUUGAAAACUGUAUAUCUAGAGUCGGCCAGAGGGUCGUGGAAUUUCCGGUGUAGCAGUGAAAUGCGUAGAGAUCGGAAAGAACACCAGUGGCGAAGGCGGCGGCCUGGGACCAGACUGACACUGAGGUGCGAAAGCGUGGGGAGCAAACAGG